RNAcentral lists this ribosomal RNA (1442 nucleotides) under Bacillus licheniformis. RNAcentral's name for it is "bacterial SSU rRNA". It matches the Rfam family "Bacterial small subunit ribosomal RNA". The record is from RNAcentral. Lineage: Bacteria; Bacillati; Bacillota; Bacilli; Caryophanales; Bacillaceae.
GAACGCUGGCGGCGUGCUUAAUACAUGCAAGUCGAGCGGACCGACGGGAGCUUGCUCCCUUAGGUCAGCGGCGGACGGGUGAGUAACACGUGGGUAACCUGCCUGUAAGACUGGGAUAACUCCGGGAAACCGGGGCUAAUACCGGAUGCUUGAUUGAACCGCAUGGUUCAAUCAUAAAAGGUGGCUUUUAGCUACCACUUACAGAUGGACCCGCGGCGCAUUAGCUAGUUGGUGAGGUAACGGCUCACCAAGGCGACGAUGCGUAGCCGACCUGAGAGGGUGAUCGGCCACACUGGGACUGAGACACGGCCCAGACUCCUACGGGAGGCAGCAGUAGGGAAUCUUCCGCAAUGGACGAAAGUCUGACGGAGCAACGCCGCGUGAGUGAUGAAGGUUUUCGGAUCGUAAAACUCUGUUGUUAGGGAAGAACAAGUACCGUUCGAAUAGGGCGGUACCUUGACGGUACCUAACCAGAAAGCCACGGCUAACUACGUGCCAGCAGCCGCGGUAAUACGUAGGUGGCAAGCGUUGUCCGGAAUUAUUGGGCGUAAAGCGCGCGCAGGCGGUUUCUUAAGUCUGAUGUGAAAGCCCCCGGCUCAACCGGGGAGGGUCAUUGGAAACUGGGGAACUUGAGUGCAGAAGAGGAGAGUGGAAUUCCACGUGUAGCGGUGAAAUGCGUAGAGAUGUGGAGGAACACCAGUGGCGAAGGCGACUCUCUGGUCUGUAACUGACGCUGAGGCGCGAAAGCGUGGGGAGCGAACAGGAUUAGAUACCCUGGUAGUCCACGCCGUAAACGAUGAGUGCUAAGUGUUAGAGGGUUUCCGCCCUUUAGUGCUGCAGCAAACGCAUUAAGCACUCCGCCUGGGGAGUACGGUCGCAAGACUGAAACUCAAAGGAAUUGACGGGGGCCCGCACAAGCGGUGGAGCAUGUGGUUUAAUUCGAAGCAACGCGAAGAACCUUACCAGGUCUUGACAUCCUCUGACAACCCUAGAGAUAGGGCUUCCCCUUCGGGGGCAGAGUGACAGGUGGUGCAUGGUUGUCGUCAGCUCGUGUCGUGAGAUGUUGGGUUAAGUCCCGCAACGAGCGCAACCCUUGAUCUUAGUUGCCAGCAUUCAGUUGGGCACUCUAAGGUGACUGCCGGUGACAAACCGGAGGAAGGUGGGGAUGACGUCAAAUCAUCAUGCCCCUUAUGACCUGGGCUACACACGUGCUACAAUGGGCAGAACAAAGGGCAGCGAAGCCGCGAGGCUAAGCCAAUCCCACAAAUCUGUUCUCAGUUCGGAUCGCAGUCUGCAACUCGACUGCGUGAAGCUGGAAUCGCUAGUAAUCGCGGAUCAGCAUGCCGCGGUGAAAUACGUUCCCGGGCCUUGUACACACCGCCCGUCACACCACGAGAGUUUGUAACACCCGAAGUCGGUGAGGUAACCUUUUGGAGCCAGCC